AUGUUUAAAAUUCAUCCGACAUGGGUUACAGGGCAGUUAUGAUUGGGUCUUGGGGGUGGUCUCUAGUCCUGAUUAGACUUGACGAACCCAACACAACUAGGCCCUGGUUUGGGUUGUGUCAGGUUAGGACUAGAUUUGAGAAGGCACAGGGCCAAUGGGAGGCUACACUGAGUACUAUACUAACUGAGCUACGUGCCAACUUGCAGACACGUCUAUAUGAGUUUGAGAGAUAGGUUAUAGCCUGACAUAUAGAGACUCCUACACCAGAUCUAGCAUAGAUAAGGAAGGAGUUUGAUGUGUUAUGAGCUGAGGUACGUUCUCUCAUCGAGAGCCGUAUGUUAGCCACUACCUUAGUUAUACCCCAAGUGGUCUAGCUAUUACCUAUACGUGCAUUGAGAUAUUUUUAUUUUCUCACGGAGGGUGAUGAAGACGUCCCAGUAGUUGGGGCCAAGAAAGAUCUCAUAGAUGACUCGUCGGACCUUGAUUUACCAUAUGACUAAGCCAUUAAAAAUACUAGGGAUGAUUUAAUGUAGUCUACAUUCGCCGACAGGCAGAGGUGUGCUUCUAUAGCAAGAGGCUCAUCAUUCAGCAGUACAUCGCCACCACUACCGCCUCCACAAGUUGAUAUGCCCCCAUCUUGGGAUGCUUUUAAUUUGGGCGCCUAGUGCAUCCCAGGUAUAUUCUCAGCUCCCUUUGUUUUAUUUUUUUCUAGUGCGUUGAGGACAGUGUAUAGUUAUUCAUUUGGGGUGGGCAUACCAUUUUGCUACGGGUUUUCUUAUCGUGCUUCUUUUCCCAUUGGCCGCGAUAUGGUUGUAGAACCAGCAUGUUUAGGAUAAUUUUGUGUUGUACUGUAUUUUUCUUCAUAUUGUGUUAUUUUUGUGUAGUUAGGAGAUUUUAAGUAUUUAGGGCAGUGGUCAUGUUUUGACUUAUUUGUGAUACCCCUCCAAAAUUUGUGUUUUAGAACUAUGUGAAUGUAUAUAUGUGUUAACUUUAUGGAUCUUGUUAUGGCAUUAGGAUUAGGGACAGGAUAAUAACUUUAGAAAUUACAUGAACUAGAUAGGUAGUAGUUGGUAAUAUUGACUCUAUGCUAUGUGUGUGUGAGAUACUACCUAGUUCCCCUUGUGUGUCAAUUUCAGAACUUGCUUGAUUAUUUUUGCCUAGUUUGAAGGAUAGUCGGUUAGGAAAGGAUCAUAGGUAAUUUUUUAUUUUAGUUCACAAUUAUCCUAAAUAACCUUUCAUAUGUGAAUUAUAUCCCUUGAUCCUUAUUUUGAGCCUUGUAGACUAUUUUUCUUGUUUCAUUGUUCACCUUUCCAUUUAUAGUACAAUGAACUUGUUUUGGCUCUGGUCCUCCUUGGACAUUAUGCACCUCAUCUCAGGUAAAAUGCCUAAGUUGAGAGUGGCUAUCGUAGGGGUGCAUAGUGUAAAAUGGGAAUGAAGAAAGGUAAAAUAAUUAAAAAAAAGUUAGUAAGGUUGAGUGUGGUAGAAAAAGAAAAGAAAAAAAGAGUAGAAGAAAAGAAAAAAAAAGUAGAAGAAAAGAAAAAAAUUGUAAAAAGAAAAAAUAAAAAGAAUGAAUAAAAUAUUACACCCAACUUGAAUGUGCAGUAACGAAUAAAAAGUAAGAAAUAAGGAUGGAAUAAAAAUGAAAUUGGCUAGUAAGUUAGACCCCAAGGUUAGUGUAGUGCCAAGGAGGAUUAGUCACUUGAUAUGUCCAUAUCUACCAUACUAGCCCUCAAGCCUACAUUACUAGCUGAGAAAAGUCUUAUAGUGAUCCUAACUUGACUAUCUAAAUGCUAAGGUAAAGAAAAUAAAGGCAAGCCUAUGGUAUUUUACAUGAAUUGAUUGGAACUUCUUUUUAAGUGUGAGUGUCUCUUGACCAUCUCUGCAUUGACAUGCAUGAUUUCAUAUGAUUGAGUAAGAGAUCCUUGUUGUGAGGGCGCUUGAUUCAUAUCGCUAGAUAUUUUCUUGUUUUGGAUAGUGUAACUUGUAUAUAUAUGAGUGAUUGUUUGUUGCUAAUGUAAUUGUCAUACCUUGAUCCCAUUGUAUCACAUUGUUGUGCUUAAUAUUUAUACAUAGUUGGUUUUGAAAAAUAAGAUUGGAGGAGGAUGUUGUGUUUUGAGUUUAAGUGUUGAUUGAUUGCCUUGAAUCACAAAUAUAGCACCUUCGAUGCUUAAAACUAGAAAAAAAUGUAAGUUUCUGCAGUUAUUUUAUUAGAUAUGAUGCCUUUUGGAUAUGUUUUGCAGGAAAUCAUGUUUUGGAAGAUAAGUUCGUGAAAAAAGGUGAAAAAAGGUGGUUUGGCUAGUUUUGGCGAAAUUAUAGAUAUUCGGGAUGUUUUCUAGCUUGUUCAUGAUCAAAGCAUGUUCGGGAAUUAAAGAAGAGCUGAUAAGAUGACUCUUGACACUUACCAAGUCAACAUGUGUCUGCAAGUAGGACCGACGGACCGCAUGUAGGCAAAGAAACUACCAAAAGUCCGAAAUCCCGAUAGCUAAACUUAAUAUUAUUAUAAUAACCCACCAAACUAGAAAUGAUUACGAAGCAAAUCCAAUAAGAACAAAGAAAUGGGAGAAAAGGUGUCUACCUCCUUUUUAUCACGUUUUAUAAUUCUAUUUAUAUAUAUUAUUAUUAUGUGUACAUGUA
RNAcentral lists this long non-coding RNA (2634 nucleotides) under Capsicum annuum. Its description in RNAcentral is "long non-coding RNA (CANN_LNC006298)". The record is from RNAcentral. Lineage: Eukaryota; Viridiplantae; Streptophyta; Magnoliopsida; Solanales; Solanaceae.